CAAGUGACCCCGGUCUUACCACCGGGAUGUUCAUAACCCUUUGUUGUCCGACUCUGUUGCCUCCGGGGCGACCCUGCCUUCGGGCGGGGGCUCCGGGUGGACACUUCAAACUCUUGCGUAACUUUGCAGUCUGAGUAAACUUAAUUAAUAAAUUAAAACUUUUAACAACGGAUCUCUUGGUUCUGGCAUCGAUGAAGAACGCAGCGAAAUGCGAUAAGUAAUGUGAAUUGCAGAAUUCAGUGAAUCAUCGAAUCUUUGAACGCACAUUGCGCCCCCUGGUAUUCCGGGGGGCAUGCCUGUUCGAGCGUCAUUUCACCACUCAAGCCUCGCUUGGUAUUGGGCAACGCGGUCCGCCGCGUGCCUCAAAUCGACCGGCUGGGUCUUCUGUCCCCUAAGCGUUGUGGAAACUAUUCGCUAAAGGGUGUUCGGGAGGCUACGCCGUAAAACAACCCCAUUUCUAAG
Molecule: unclassified non-coding RNA, 462 nt
Filed under: uncultured Cladosporium
Lineage: Eukaryota; Fungi; Ascomycota; Dothideomycetes; Cladosporiales; Cladosporiaceae
Description: sequence contains ITS1, 5.8S rRNA gene, ITS2
Rfam family: 5.8S ribosomal RNA (bases 157-310)
Source: RNAcentral